UACGGCCAUAUCAUAUUGAAACACAGGCUCUCGUCCAUUCACUGGAGUUAAGCAACGUUGAAUCUGGUUUGUACCCAGAUGGGUUAUCGCUCGGGAGUAUCAGGUGCUGUAAA
Molecule: non-coding RNA, 113 nt
Organism: Acanthosepion pharaonis
Lineage: Eukaryota; Metazoa; Mollusca; Cephalopoda; Sepiida; Sepiidae
Source: the annotation of a GenBank genome assembly